Molecule: non-coding RNA, 86 nt
Organism: Vararia minispora EC-137
Lineage: Eukaryota; Fungi; Basidiomycota; Agaricomycetes; Russulales; Lachnocladiaceae
Source: the annotation of a GenBank genome assembly
GCCUACUAGCUCAAUCGGAUAGAGCAUCAGACUCUUAAGGUGGUUUGGAUUCCUGAAAGCUGCCGGUCCGACCCCGGCGGUGGGCU